This 548-nucleotide ribosomal RNA is filed under the name Malgasia merina. RNAcentral describes it as "partial 16S ribosomal RNA". It matches the Rfam family "Bacterial large subunit ribosomal RNA", at positions 1797 to 2610 of the family's 2925-position model. The record is from RNAcentral. Lineage: Eukaryota; Metazoa; Arthropoda; Insecta; Orthoptera; Gryllidae.
CGCCUGUUUAUCAAAAACAUCUCUUUUGGUGAAAAUGAGAAGUAAUNCCUGCCCAAUGAUGAAUUUAAAUGSCCGCGGUAUUUUGNCCGUGCAAAGGUAGCAUAAUCAUUUGUCUUUUAAUUGAGGGCUGGAAUGAAUGGUUUGACGAAAUAAGAACUGUCUUUUAAUUAUUAUAUUGAAUUUAAUUUUUAAGUUAAAAAGCUUAAAUAGUUCAAUAGGACGAGAAGACCCUAUAGAGUUUAAUAGUAUUGUUUGUUAUUUUUAAAGGUAGACUUUAAUAGAAUAUAAAAUAGGAUUAUUUGAUUGGGGUGAUAGUAAAAAAAGGGAAACUUUUAUAUAAUUUUUAACUUAAAUGAAAGGAGUAUAUUAUUUGAUCUUGUAAUAUGGAUUAAUAGAUAAAAUUACCUUAGGGAUAACAGCGUUAUUUUAUUUAAGAGUUCUUAUCGAAAAUAAAGUUUGCGACCUCGAUGUUGGAUUAAGAUUAUUGACUGGUGUAGAAGUUGGUUAAAUAGGUCUGUUCGACCUUUAAAAUCUUACAUGAUCUGAGU